This is a regulatory RNA element of Astyanax mexicanus (Mexican tetra), 54 nucleotides long. It matches the Rfam family "UnaL2 LINE 3' element". From Rfam's summary of the family: The eel long interspersed element (LINE) UnaL2 and its partner short interspersed element (SINE) share a conserved 3' tail containing a stem-loop that is critical for their retrotransposition. Presumably, the first step of retrotransposition is the recognition of their 3' tails by UnaL2-encoded reverse transcriptase. The record is from Rfam. NCBI's taxonomy places the organism in Eukaryota, Metazoa, Chordata, Actinopteri, Characiformes, Acestrorhamphidae.
UAUGCCAUUAUUUGUAAUUCGCUUUGGAUAAAAGCGUCUGCUAAAUGUAAGGUA